Non-coding RNA from Pelobates cultripes (western spadefoot toad), 336 nucleotides. NCBI's taxonomy places the organism in Eukaryota, Metazoa, Chordata, Amphibia, Anura, Pelobatidae. The record is from the annotation of a GenBank genome assembly.
GAGGAGGUAGCCAACACUGUUUUUUAUAUAUAUUUUAUUUUAUUGGGACAUAUAAAAAAAGACAACUCUGUUGCGCAGAGUAGCUGUUGACAUUAUAGUUGUGCAGGCACUUUGUUGACUCUAGAGAACCUCAGGCCAAUCGCACAUCCCUGUGACGGCGACUUUGCAUUCAGAUGUCAUCUCUAUCAACUUUUGAUGCCAGUUUCUGCGCCUACCUUGGUAGGUAAUGGGGAAUCAGGGUUCCAUUCUGUACAGGGACCCUGAAAAACGGCUACCACAUGCAAGGAAGGCAGCAGGCACGCAAAUGACCCACUCCCGACGCGGGAAGGUAGUGAC